Molecule: RNA transcript, 2313 nt
Organism: Gossypium raimondii (Peruvian cotton)
Lineage: Eukaryota; Viridiplantae; Streptophyta; Magnoliopsida; Malvales; Malvaceae
Exons: 5
Source: RefSeq, a predicted model, not a curated record
CCUAUACAUGAAGGGAGAGAGGGAGGCUGGGAUAUGUAAACUGCCCUACUUUUCAUUGUUAUCGGAGCUUUACCUUUUUUAUAUAUAUUAUGUUUGAUCUAGAUUUGAUGGUUUUUCUUUUUCGUUAGUGUCUUUGUCCAUGGACAUCACUGUUGGAUUUGUUGUUGUGUAUCUGUGCCACUUGGGUUUGUCACCGACAUCUGUACCUUGUGCAUGAUAGAGAGAGAGAGAGAAAGACAAGUGAACCUGCCAUAAGACCAGUGAGUGGAUGUUGAUGAUAAGAAAGAGGGAGAGAAGGGGUUCUUCUUCUACUUCUUUCUUUGAUUCUUCUUUCAACGUUUUGGGUUUUGGUUUGUGAGAGAAAUAAAACCCUUUUUCUGGACACGUAGUUGGUUCUAAUACUGAAAACGGCAUGGAUCGUCGAUUUUGAGGUUUUUAACUUUUGGUAACUUUUCCCUAAAUGGGGGUGUUACUGUGUUUUUCAGAUCUGACUCAUUCCUUUUCUUCGUUUUUCUUUCCGUAAUUUUUAUUUUUGGGGUUCAUUUGUUUUCCUUAUUGGUAAGCAGGUUUUACCUUUCAUCAUCAUCUUCAUGAUCUGUGUAAUCUCUCAUUCAUGGAACAUAGAAAUUGACAGAAGAGAGUGAGCACACAAAGGCACAUGUAUAAGCGCAUACUUUGCUUUUGCGUGCUCACUUCUCUUUCUGUCAGCUUCCAGUGCCGGAAUUUGAUCCAUCUUUUUUGGUCACUUCUCCGCCUGUUUUGUUCCUCCAUUUCUAUCUCUCUCUCAUGGUCGGUCUCGUCGAAGACAAGGAAUAUGGUGAGUGGUGUGCCUUGCCAUGCCAUGCCUUGCGAUGAUCUGACUGUUUCCUUUCUCAAUUUAUGCUUUCUUUUUUUUAAUGCGAUUAGUAGGCUUUUUGAUGUUAUUCACUGUUGUGGUACGCCUGGUUACUGUGCGGAUAUAGCGGCAAAAACUAUGAAUAGCAUGGGACCAUUCACGUUAUCCAUUUCCUAUUAGUAGCUAAGCCUAGUUGCUUGGAAUCUCUAAGUGGAAAAUGGAGUUUUGUAUUCCUUGGUUUAAUUUAACCCUACCCUUUCUCAGAGAUGGUCAAAUUAUGGGAUCCUCAAAUGUCAGCCUGUCUGCAAAUAUCCAGAGACAAUUCCGAUCGGUGUUUCCUUAAUGUAUACAUUGCAAAUAUCAAUUAUAGGUAGACUGCAUUUAAAUAGACUCAUGUUUAAUGUUUUCAGACUACUGUUAGCAUUAAUUUUGACAGAAGUGCAUCCAAUUAAUGUUGGUUUUUGAUACAUACAUACAUACAUACAUACAUACAUACAUACAUACAUACAAACACACACACACACAUAUAUAUGUAUCUAUAUAUAUAACUUUAUAUAAAACCUCAUCUUUCUGACUAAUUCAGACAUUGCAUUUAUGGUAUAGUUCUCAGACAUUGUAAGGCUCAAGAAUGCAAUAAUGGAUUUCUCUUAGAACUUUUAAAUUUCAAACCAUAAUAUAUUUGAAACAAUGUCAUUCAAGGUUUGUGCCUAGGCACGCCUGCCCCUUGUCCCUUAGCACUAGAAAACAGAAGUGUCUUGGACCCUUUUGGGGAGGUCCAUUUGAUCAGGCAAACCGUUUGACCAUAAGGAAAGGUAUCCAACUCUAUACUUCCCAGUGUUUGAGUGUUCAUAUAUAUGCAUAGACCAUAAGGAAAUUAUACAUAUUGACUAACAAAAAAGUUUACUAGUUUGGUAGAUAACUUAGAACACGCUUUAGAGUUCAUUACGAUUUAAUCUUCAUAUAUAUAGACACACAUAUACAUAUUGUGCUUUUGCUUACUCGGGCUAGUGCUUUUAUUGUGCCUUGUGCAUGAGGUAAAAUAAGAGUUCUGGCACCUAGAGUGCAAGAUGCACCCUUGACUACACUGAUUUGAACUUUUUAACAUUGUUGGACAUUUACAUGAAUCUAUGACAGAUUUGUUCAAUGCCAGAAUUAGCAGAAGUUCAUAUGAUGAGCUGUACUUUUAGUUCCGCACUAGAUAUCAUGUCUUGAUAGAGAUCAAUUCAUCUGCACGACAAUUGCACAAUAUGGGAGCAUGAUAGUGCUUGGAACCAUGUUGGAAUCCUUGGUUUUUUACUUCAACUUUUUCAAAGAAGAAGAUGCAACGAAAUAAAGUAUUGUACAUGGAGGUGAUGUGUGCACAUUGCAUGGCCUGAAUUCUUUCCAAUGUAAGUACUAAACUUCAACAACUAAAACCUUUUCAUUGGUGGAGUACAUUCUAAAUAUCAAUUUUAUAUAGAAAAGUUUAUAGUGCUUCA